CAAUAGCGUAUAUUAAAGUUGUUGCAGUUAAAAAGCUCGUAGUUGGAUUUCGGGGCCCCGGACGCUCGUUGCGUUGUCUGCUGGACCUGUCCUGUGGGCGCGUGGCGGUCGUCGGUCUCUGAGUCGGAUCGGUCCGCCGAGAGGCGUGCACUGACCGACGGCCCCUGUUGUCUCUCGGGUUGCCCGCCUGCACUUAACUGUUGCGGACGGGGAGUUCGGGACGUUUACUUUGAACAAAUUAGAGUGUUCCAAGCAGGCCGUUUGCUUUGAAUACAUUAGCAUGGAAUAAUGGAAUAGGGCUGCGUGGCCUGUCGUCUGACGGCGGGUCCUCGUGUCCUAUUUUGUUGGUUUUCGGGACCGCAGUCAUGGUCAAGAGGGACAGUUGGGGGCAUUCGUAUUCAGUUGUCAGAGGUGAAAUUCUUGGAUUUACGGAAGACGAACAACUGCGAAAGCAUUUGCCAAGGAUGUUUUCAUUAA
Molecule: ribosomal RNA, 477 nt
Filed under: uncultured eukaryote
Lineage: Eukaryota
Description: partial 18S ribosomal RNA
Rfam family: Eukaryotic small subunit ribosomal RNA
Source: RNAcentral